GUUGCAGUGGCAGAUCAGUGCAUCAGGUUUAAGCCCUGAAAAGGAAUAGAAUCCUGUAAUA
RNAcentral lists this transfer RNA (61 nucleotides) under Laqueus japonicus. Its description in RNAcentral is "tRNA-Leu". Lineage: Eukaryota; Metazoa; Brachiopoda; Rhynchonellata; Terebratulida; Laqueidae. The record is from RNAcentral.